RNAcentral lists this ribosomal RNA (301 nucleotides) under uncultured bacterium. RNAcentral describes it as "partial 16S ribosomal RNA". It matches the Rfam family "Bacterial small subunit ribosomal RNA", at positions 509 to 807 of the family's 1533-position model. The record is from RNAcentral.
CAGUCGCCACGGUAAAACGCAGGUGGCAAGCGUUGUCCGGAUUUACUGGGCGUAAAGGGCGCGUAGGCGGACUGAUAAGUCAGGGGUGAAAUCCCAAGGCUCAACCUUGGAACUGCCUUUGAUACUGUUUGUCUUGAGUUCGAGAGAGGUAAGUGGAACUGCGAGUGUAGAGGUGAAAUUCGUAGAUAUUCGCAAGAACACCAGUGGCGAAGGCGGCUUACUGGCUCGAAACUGACGCUGAGGCGCGAAAGCGUGGGGAGCAAACAGGAUUAGAGACCCCCGUAGUCCCUGUCUCUUAUAC